GACUCUCGGCAACGGAUAUCUCGGCUCACGCAUCGAUGAAGAACGUAGCAAAAUGCGAUACUUGGUGUGAAUUGCAGAAUCCCGUGAACCAUCGAGUUUUUGAACGCAAGUUGCGCCCAAAGCCAUUUGGUUGAGGGCACGUCUGCCUGGGCGUCACAC
Molecule: ribosomal RNA, 159 nt
Filed under: Pycnosorus globosus
Lineage: Eukaryota; Viridiplantae; Streptophyta; Magnoliopsida; Asterales; Asteraceae
Also listed under: 2 other names
Description: 5.8S ribosomal RNA
Rfam family: 5.8S ribosomal RNA
About the family: 5.8S ribosomal RNA (5.8S rRNA) is a component of the large subunit of the eukaryotic ribosome. It is transcribed by RNA polymerase I as part of the 45S precursor that also contains 18S and 28S rRNA.
Source: RNAcentral